This 1593-nucleotide long non-coding RNA is filed under the name Mus musculus (house mouse). RNAcentral describes it as "RIKEN cDNA 4833438C02 gene". Lineage: Eukaryota; Metazoa; Chordata; Mammalia; Rodentia; Muridae. The record is from RNAcentral.
GGGGCUCAGUCGGGGCCUAGCCGCCUCGCCCCCUCUCCGCAGCCUGGAGCAAACUUGGGAUUUUCAGCCAGCGUGGAGGACACGGCUGAUUCACCCAGGGGCUUUUGUGGGGACAUUCCUGCCGUCGGAGGCCCCUUUUCCGAAUGGCCCGUAGGCGGGGGUUCUUCCAGUGGGGCCUCCGGGGCUCUGACCAGAGAAUAUGAUUCGGGCCUCAGGGUGUGUGUGGGGGGGAGGAGUUUCCCCCUCCACGGUCUCUAGCGAUUCCGUCUUAGCUUCCCGGAUUCUCCCGCUGCACCUGCUCCCGGUGGCCGGUCAAACGGGAGCAUCCCGCCCUCCCUGGCGACUCCAAUCCCAAAGCCAGUGUAACGCGCAUGUGUCCGUUGCAGGAAUAUGCGUUUCAGCCCUAAUGUCUUGUGUGCCGGGUGAGUGGUGGCAUCAUGGCACGUGCAAGUGAACGUUCAUCCACACAGACACUCAGGGAUCUGAACCCGGCCACUCACCGUGGUGGCGGCUCUGGUUCCGACUUCUUUCCGAGCCCUUCCCCGGACCGGUCGUUGCUCCUCUCCAGCCAAAGGGCUCCAGCCGGGAAAGCCCCUUUCGGCCCCCCGAGGGGGGGAAUUCCCGUGACGAUCCCGUGCGUCACUCCCCAUGCCCUUUUUUAUUGGUUGAAAGUUUAACUCCAGGACUCUUGUAGCCAACCCGGAGCAACGCAGGCGCGCCCCUUUCGGGGAAGGCUCGCCCAGGACUGGCCGCGGGGUGUCACCCAGCUCCAGUUCUGCUAGGGACCAGCGAGGCGGGACGACGGACCCAGCGCAGGGCGCGGCUCAGAUCUCUGCACUCUUCCAGGCUUGCCCGGGACCGUUACGGAGUCCAGUGGGCCACUUGGCUCUUGCUGUGCCCAGAGGUUGGCUAUCUCUGAGACACAGGAAACCGGGUCAGUCCCAACACUCCAGUAACCCUCCCAGAGAGGGACCUCCUAGCUGGGAAGGGGAAGAGGAAGGAGUCAGAUCUUGCGGUCAGCUCCAGAUCGCCAUCUAGCGGCCUUUCUGGAGCCGCAAGGAAACUCUGGGGUCAACUGUCUUAGUUUCCGGGCUUCAGGAAGAGACAACUGAUGUUUAUUCUAUGUCCCAACUAUUUGACUUGAAAGGCAUCCAACUGGGCGUGGCGAAAUUCACCUGCAGUCCCAGCUUUCUUGAAACCAAGACAGAUCCUAAGUUUCACACCACCCUGUCUCAACACACAUGCACGCAAAUCUGUCCAAAGUGCCUUUCAAACUUCCUCUUCUGUGGAAAAUUGCCAGCGGUGUGCUUUGCAUGGGUGAGGGCCAGCUGUUACCAUCAUAAAGUGGGUGGGAGGCUCUGGAGACCUCUCAGCGCCGAAGCACUCCUGCUCUUCCUGCAUCCAGGAAGAUUCUUCCAGGAUCCACGUGGGACGGCUCACAAGUGUCCGAAACGAUCACACCAGGGUCCCCUGGCUCUCUCCUCGCCUUCUGGGAGACCGAAUUCAGGUGCACACCCUUCAAUUCUUGACUACUCAUCCCCCAAACCCCAAACCCACGUGGUGACAAAUAAGAAAUAAAAUCAUUUUAGAAAG